CAGCCGCCAACAUGAAAGCUGCAACAACUCUCCACAAAAAUUCCAGUGAAGAUUUACUAAACGAUGAAGCUGAAUUGGAUUGAACUUUUAAUUCUAUGUUUAAUCUUUUCUGCAGCUGAAUGUGGUUUUCACUCUCUACAAUUUUUGUCGUCUGGACUGGUAAAGUCUACAGGUCGACCUGUUUUUGAGCAACUGCUGUUAUACGAUGGAGUUGAAAUCUCACACUGUGACAGCAGAACCAGACAAGAACAGCUCAAACCCACAUUGGAAACAAAACACUUACCUAAGACGUGUGCAGGUGCACGAGCUGAUAUCCUUAUAUUUCUGUCUGAGACCACUCCAUUUAUCAACAGGACAGUCGGUGUUGUGCAGCGGCGGCGUGGCUGCAUCCAAUCAGAUGAUGGGAGCGUUUCUGCUUUUGAAGCCUGGGCAGUAAAUGGGAUGGACUCCCUGACCUUUGACCCUGAGUCUCAGAUGUGGACGUCUCAAUCGCCGUCUUCAGAAACAGUUCGACAUCGCUGGAACAAAGACAAAGAGAGGAAUUUUGCCUUUCAAUAUUUCAUCAGACAUCUGUGUCCAGAAAUGAUCCAGAAAAUUACUUUAAGAUCAGUCAAUAAAAGCACAGAACUGCGUGUGUUCGGUAAACCCACUGCGUACACUGACCAGGCGCUGCUGAGGUGUCAUGUGACCACCACUGACAAAUCAGUAAGUUCAGUGCAUUUGGUUGGAGACGCAGCUCCUCAGGCCAUUUGGACCUCAGUGACCGGUCCGGUACCAUCUGGAGACGGAUGUGUGAUCCUCAGACUGACAGCUCGGAUCUAUACACAAAAACCCAACACCUACGGAUGUACAGUACAAACAGGAAGUGACAACAAGACUGUCUACUGGGAUGGAAAAACACUUGAUGGAACUGAUCUGGCAAACAAGUUCAACAGUACCUGGAAAGUUCUGUCUGUGUUAAUGGGACUUGGGUUCAUAAUAAUUGCGAGCACCAUACUAUUCUAUGGAAUGAUAGUUCUAAGAAAAUGUGGUAAGACUAAUUUAUUUGUUCUUUUUCUUUUUUUCUUUUCUCAGUUUGUUAAUUUAUUAUCACUGAGCUGCAUGUUAGACUUUACACACUGUCCCUGAAUGUCCCCCAUUUACCUGUUUAUCAUAUUACCAUGAAACAUUUCAGCUGGUAUUGACACCAGAGGUGUCUAAAGUAUUCCCGUUCAUUCCUCAGGUAAAAUUCUAGAUACUGGGGUUUAAACAGACUUCUGUAGAAGUUGAAGUAUCAACUCAAGCUUUUUACUCAAGUAAAAGUGUAAAAGUUUCAAAACUAAUUAAAUUAUAAAAGUAAAUGUAAGAGGAAAAAAUGCCAUGAGGACAAAAGCUUAGGCGGUGCCACAGGGGCCUAUAGUGCACUACCCACCUCCCCAAAAAACAGUUUUCUAAAGGCCAUAAUGAUUAAUGUUAUAUUAACAUGAUAAUGUUGAAACAUGUGGGAUGCACUAGUCUACCUGUUUCAUAUAUGCCCAUUGAAAAUGAACACAUUUUAGUCCAAUACAAAUGUAUUAAAGAACCAUAUAUGUGUCCUACUGAGUAUUAACAUGUGUUUCAUGGAGCUGAAGAUAUGAGGACUAGUUGAAUAUAAGUAUUGGAAUGGUGCCAGAAGUCAAACUUCAGAGGCAUGUUAUCAAUAACCUUUAUUGGAAUGUAAAUGUACUUCCAAGCUUAGCUGCAGGAAUCUGUGAGGGCAACAGAUGGAAGAGAACAAAACUGGACGAGAAAACUGGUGUACCCAGGGCAGGCUUAGGAACUAUUACCCUUGUAUGGUUGUCUGUAUCCAGUAGAGUGGUUGGAACAUUUGGCUGGAGUUCUCUUGAGUCUCUGCCAUGGACAUCUUCAUACUAGACUACAUAUGUCUAAUAUGUUCUCGCUGGAGUGUGACUUGACUUGUGUCAUGUACAGGUGUAAUGGAGCACAUACAAACCAACAGGGUGUCAGAAUGGUCCAUGUUUAUGCUUCUCAUCGAACCAUAAUCAAAUUCACUCCAUCUGGAUGGCACGAUUUAUCUGGAUAGUUUUUGGGUUUUUUUAUUUGAACGAUGACAAACUGGAAUAAAAUAGGAGUGAGGAGGCUGUUUUUAACAUGUAAGGAGUAGAACAUACAGAGAACUGCAUGAAAAUGUAAGAAGUAGAAGUAAGAAGUCAGCUGAAAAAUAAUUACUCCAGUAAAGUAUAGAUAACCAAAAUUUCUACUUUAGUAAAGUAACAAAGUAUUUGUACUUUGUUACUUGACAACCCUGGACACCACUGACACAGGUACCCUUUCUUCUUGUGUAUUAAUUUUAUUAUUAUCUUGUAUUAACUUGUGAUUGUGAUUUU
Sphaeramia orbicularis (orbiculate cardinalfish) is the source of this 2366-nucleotide RNA transcript. It is a transcript of the gene named hereditary hemochromatosis protein homolog, with no coding region annotated. Lineage: Eukaryota; Metazoa; Chordata; Actinopteri; Kurtiformes; Apogonidae. The transcript has 6 exons. The record is from RefSeq and is a predicted model, not a curated record.